RNAcentral lists this ribosomal RNA (603 nucleotides) under uncultured rumen bacterium. Its description in RNAcentral is "bacterial SSU rRNA". It matches the Rfam family "Bacterial small subunit ribosomal RNA", at positions 891 to 1505 of the family's 1533-position model. The record is from RNAcentral.
AAGGUGAAACUCAAAGGAAUUGACGGGGCCCGCACAAGCGGAGGAACAUGUGGUUUAAUUCGAUGAUACGCGAGGAACCUUACCCGGGCUCGAACGGCAAGUGAAGAGAUCCAGAGAUGGUGACGCCUUCGGGGCACUUGUCGAGGUGCUGCAUGGUGUCGUCAGCUCGUGUCGUGAGAUGUUGGCUCAAGUGCCAUAACGAGCGCAACCCUUGUCGUUAGUUACCAUCAGGUCAAGCUGGGGACUCUAACGAGACUGCCACCGCAAGGUGUGAGGAAGGCGGGGAUGACGUCAAAUCAGCACGGCCCUUACGUCCGGGGCGACACACGUGUUACAAUGGCGGUCACAGAGGGAAGCCACCCAGUGAUGGGGAGCAGAUCUCGAAAAGCCGUCUCAGUUCGGAUCGGAGUCUGCAACUCGACUCCGUGAAGCUGGAUUCGCUAGUAAUCGCGCAUCAGCCAUGGCGCGGUGAAUACGUUCCCGGGCCUUGUACACACCGCCCGUCAAGCCAUGAAAGCCGGGGGUGCUUGAAGUUCGUGACCGCAAGGAGCGACCUAGGGCAAAACUGGUAAUUGGGGCUAAGUCGUAACAAGGUAACCUAAC